RNAcentral lists this ribosomal RNA (301 nucleotides) under uncultured bacterium. RNAcentral describes it as "partial 16S ribosomal RNA". It matches the Rfam family "Bacterial small subunit ribosomal RNA", at positions 509 to 809 of the family's 1533-position model. The record is from RNAcentral.
CAGCAGCCACGGUAACACGUAGGUGGCGAGCGUUGUCCGGAUUUAUUGGGCGUAAAGCGCGCGCAGGCGGAUAGGUCAGUCUGUCUUAAAAGUUCGGGGCUUAACCCCGUGAUGGGAUGGAAACUGCCAAUCUAGAGUAUCGGAGAGGAAGGUGGAAUUCCUAGUGUAGCGGUGAAAUGCGUAGAUAUUAGGAAGAACACCAGUGGCGAAGGCGACUUUCUGGACGAAAACUAACGCUGAGGCGCGAAAGCCAGGGGAGCGAACGGGAUUAGAUACCCGAGUAGUCCCUGUCUCUUAUACA